Molecule: long non-coding RNA, 669 nt
Organism: Xyrauchen texanus (razorback sucker)
Lineage: Eukaryota; Metazoa; Chordata; Actinopteri; Cypriniformes; Catostomidae
Exons: 3
Source: RefSeq, a predicted model, not a curated record
UUGUUGGUUUAAUUCCCACUGGGGCCACCUGUACAUGUAGUAGACCUAGAUAUAAAUGUCAUAGUUUAGUAUUUGAAGGUCCAGGACUGACUACUUUAUUCUUUUAUUCUGGGAACCCCUGUAGGUGCAGAUCAAACCCUAAUGCUGCGACGUCUUGGGAGUUUGGCGAUGUUGUGCGUAGCAUGGACGACAAAAUGCUAUGCUGCAACGUUUCAGUGCCAAUGUGUCUGUUGGAGAGUUAUCCCUGACAGGGGAUCUGUUACUCCCCCCUAGACACCCAGGAACAUUUGGCGUUGCUUGACAACAGUUUGAGGCAGGAUAAAGAGCUCCAGCAACGAUUUCUUCGGUUUUUGGCAAUCAAAUGUGGGAGGGACCUAAAGACAACCGUGUGGCGAAUGCUUCAGAGUAUCUUCUCUAAUCACCUUUCCAUCAAUACAACCUGGACUGGUGUAGGGGAUAAAGCAUGUUUUAGAGACAUGUUCCUGAAGACCAUUGUUCAAAGAGCCAUCCGGAAGAACCCGGCAACACAGGAUGCCACUGAUGAGGCGAUCCAGGUUAACGUUACGCGUUACCUGAAAGGAGCAUCUGAACAUGAAGGUGGAAAAAGGCGCCGCACAGCUGAGAGGGACCCACAGCCGACCCCUUAAACCUCGGCUGACUACUGACACC